Molecule: ribosomal RNA, 201 nt
Filed under: uncultured bacterium
Lineage: Bacteria
Description: partial 16S ribosomal RNA
Rfam family: Bacterial small subunit ribosomal RNA
Source: RNAcentral
AACGAACGCUGGCGGCAGGCCUAACACAUGCAAGUCGAACGCCCUAGCAAUAGGGAGUGGCAGACGGGUGAGUAACGCGUGGGAACCUUCCCUGUGGUGCGGAAUAACUCGCCGAAAGGCGUGCUAAUACCGCAUAAGCCCGCAAGGGGAAAGAUUUAUCGCCAUAGGAUGGGCCCGCGUAGGAUUAGCUAGUUGGUGAGU